CAAUAGCGUAUAUUAAAGUUGUUGCAGUUAAAAAGCUCGUAGUUGGAUUUCUGCUUAGUGCGACCAGUCCGCCUUCGGGCUGGUAUCAGGAUCGCUCUGGGCUUUCUCCUGGAUGGCAUGGCUGGGCCUCGUUGUCUGGCCUGCUGUCUAGGUCUUUUACUUUGAGGAAAUUAGAGUGUUUCAAGCAAGAGAAGCUUUGAAUACAUUAGCAUGGAAUAAUAUUACGGAACUCUGGUUCUGUUUUAUUGGUUUCUGGGAUCAGAGAAAUGAUUAAUAGGGACAGUCGGGGGCAUUCGUACUUAACUGUCAGAGGUGAAAUUCUUGGAUUUGUUAAAGACGGACUAAUGCGAAAGCAUUUGCCAAGGAUGUUUUCAUUGA
RNAcentral lists this ribosomal RNA (378 nucleotides) under uncultured eukaryote. RNAcentral describes it as "partial 18S ribosomal RNA". It matches the Rfam family "Eukaryotic small subunit ribosomal RNA", at positions 592 to 976 of the family's 1831-position model. The record is from RNAcentral.